UGCCAGCCGCCGCGGUAAUACGGAGGGUGCUAGCGUUGUUCGGAAUUACUGGGCGUAAAGAGCGUGUAGGCGGCCUUUCAAGUCUGGUGUGAAAGCCCGGGGCUCAACCCCGGAAGAGCAUUGGAUACUGUUUGGCUAGAGUACCGGAGAGGAGGGUGGAAUUCCUGGUGUAGCGGUGAAAUGCGUAGAUAUCAGGAGGAACACCAGUGGCGAAGGCGGCCCUCUGGACGGAUACUGACGCUGAGACGCGAAAGCGUGGGGAGCAAACAGGAUUAGAUA
This 279-nucleotide ribosomal RNA is filed under the name uncultured bacterium. RNAcentral describes it as "partial 16S ribosomal RNA". It matches the Rfam family "Bacterial small subunit ribosomal RNA", at positions 506 to 784 of the family's 1533-position model. The record is from RNAcentral.